AACGAACGCUGGCGGCAUGCCUAACACAUGCAAGUCGAACGAUACCGUCUGGUCUUUUUGCGCACGGGUUCGGCAGGCGACGGGAGCUUCCCGUAGGUGCGGAAUACCUCCCCGCAGGGGGUGCUAAUACGGGAUAAUUUCUUCUGACCAAUGAUAUCUUUGCACGGGAGGGGCACGCGUGGGAGUAGCUAUUUGGUAACGUAAAAGACUACCAAGGUUACGAUCCCUAGCUGGUCUGGGAGGAUGAUCAGACACACUGGGACUGUGACACGGCCCAGACUCCUACGGGAGGCAGAAGUGGGGAAUAUUGGACAAUGGGCGAGAGCAUGAGCCAGCAAUGCCGCGUGAGUGAUGAAGGACUUAGGGUUGUAAAGCUCUUUUAACCGGGAUGAUAAUGACGGUACCGGGAGAAUAAGCGACGGCUAACUCCGUG
Molecule: ribosomal RNA, 433 nt
Filed under: uncultured bacterium
Lineage: Bacteria
Description: partial 16S ribosomal RNA
Rfam family: Bacterial small subunit ribosomal RNA
Source: RNAcentral